AUUGAACGCUGGCGGCAUGCCUUACACAUGCAAGUCGAACGGCAGCACGGGAGCAAUCCUGGUGGCGAGUGGCGAACGGGUGAGUAAAGUAUCGGAGCGUGCCCAGUCGUGGGGGAUAACGUAGCGAAAGUUACGCUAAUACCGCAUACGAUCUAUGGAUGAAAGCGGGGGAUCGCAAGACCUCGCGCGAUUGGAGCGGCCGAUAUCAGAUUAGGUAGUUGGUGGGGUAAAGGCUCACCAAGCCGACGAUCUGUAGCUGGUCUGAGAGGACGACCAGCCACACUGGGACUGAGACACGGCCCAGACUCCUACGGGAGGCAGCAGUGGGGAAUUUUGGACAAUGGGCGCAAGCCUGAUCCAGCCAUGCCGCGUGCAGGAUGAAGGCCUUCGGGUUGUAAACUGCUUUUGUACGGAACGAAAAGGUUUGGCCUAAUAAGCUGAGCUCAUGACGGUACCGUAAGAAUAAGCACCGGCUAACUACGUGCCAGCAGCCGCAGUAA
This 500-nucleotide ribosomal RNA is filed under the name uncultured bacterium. RNAcentral describes it as "partial 16S ribosomal RNA". It matches the Rfam family "Bacterial small subunit ribosomal RNA", at positions 30 to 523 of the family's 1533-position model. The record is from RNAcentral.